AACAUAGCGAAGAAGAGAAGGCUAUGCAAUAGCGUUUAUGUCCAGAGAGCGGAGGGUUUGCUGAAACCUCCGUCGUAACGCAUGUAUAGUGUCGUCUCGGAGCUGUUGACCGAACGCGGAAGGCGUGAUAACAUGCCCGCAAGUAGGAUCAACCGGCCUGGCAUCCGUUAACAUGCUGCAGGUAAAGCAUCGGCUUUACCUCAUGAGACUGCAAUUGCGAGGUUGCAGUAAACUUGGGUGGUACCGCGAUUCCCCUUUCGUCCCAAGG
RNAcentral lists this non-coding RNA (268 nucleotides) under Paenibacillus sp. RNAcentral describes it as "T-box sequence". It matches the Rfam family "T-box leader". From Rfam's summary of the family: Uncharged tRNA acts as the effector for transcription antitermination of genes in the T-box leader family. T-boxes are found upstream of many aminoacyl-tRNA synthetase genes and some amino acid biosynthetic genes usually in Gram-positive bacteria. Lineage: Bacteria; Bacillati; Bacillota; Bacilli; Caryophanales; Paenibacillaceae. The record is from RNAcentral.